ACUUUAGUAGCUUAAUAAGAGCAUAGGAGUGAAGAUCCUAGGGUGAAUUAUUUUCCUUAAGUA
Molecule: transfer RNA, 63 nt
Filed under: Bilobella aurantiaca
Lineage: Eukaryota; Metazoa; Arthropoda; Collembola; Poduromorpha; Neanuridae
Description: tRNA-Phe
Source: RNAcentral